Molecule: long non-coding RNA, 952 nt
Organism: Mandrillus leucophaeus (drill)
Lineage: Eukaryota; Metazoa; Chordata; Mammalia; Primates; Cercopithecidae
Exons: 3
Source: RefSeq, a predicted model, not a curated record
GGGGCUGCUGAGGAUUGAGGGCCGUGUCAAGCUUGAGCUCUUUCGUCAGUGCUAGAAAUGGACGUUUAGUUAUCGAAGCCUGCUGACGAGGGAAGCCAACAAGAGAGGGAUGUCGGCAUCGGGUAUGCGGUUCCAAGAACUGAUUGGCUAUGGAGACUGGAAGAACUUUUGCAACGGAAACCGGCCCCGGGCAUGCGCCUUUUGAGCCGAGGAGCAAAAGGGCCAGAGCGUCUCAUCCCUGGGCCUGGAGCCCCAGGCUCGCUCUCCUCAGCCCGCGCUGGCAGCGGCGCUCUUGCCGCCAUUCCUGUGAGGUAGUGUUCCGGAGCCGCCGGGCUGGCGGAGGAGUAAGUAGGCGCCAGAGUCCUGGCCCGGGCAUCCUCCUCGGGGCCCUGUCGCCGCCGCGCCCCGGAUCCUGCGUUGAUCCUGUCCGAUAAAGCGGAGGUCGGCCCUGCUUGCUGACGCGACCGUGAAAACCACAGCGCCUGGCGCCCGGCCGCCGCCGCCACGCCACACACAAGUGUACCGGCCCGAGGCAGGCUUCGGGCGCGAGCUUGCCUUUGUGACUUUCCCUUACCGUCUUUGCUUGCUUCCUUUUAAGUAUUACUUCCAGAUAAGGGACAUAUUCUCGAAAUACUUUGAAAAUAAUUUUGAGUUUUGUUUCUCCCGUUGAGACUGAUUACAUUUGGACCUUUCAAGCUACACUGUGCAAUCAUCAAUCUCAAUAAGCUCGUAAUAGGCUCAUUCUUCCGUAGGCUACAAGCAAAAUAAUAGAUCAUAACAUCCUGCGGAGGAAGCCGUUGGUCCGUGUAGAGUCGCCAGAUGUCAAUUAAGAGUAGAUCGCUUUUCAGAGAAUACUUACGGCUCUGGUUUAGACCUGGACUUGGAACUUUGAGGUGUUUGGAACACUGGGCAGAAUUUUCCUUUGUUAUAAAACAAACUUUAUGAGAACGUA